Molecule: long non-coding RNA, 501 nt
Organism: Alligator mississippiensis (American alligator)
Lineage: Eukaryota; Metazoa; Chordata; Crocodylia; Alligatoridae
Exons: 3
Source: RefSeq, a predicted model, not a curated record
GCAAGCUUGAAGGAGAGAGGGUGACCCAGUGGAGGAAAGGACAGAAGCCAGAUGGAACCAAGCUUUAAUUUGAUGGGAUAAAAAUAGAUCCGCUUGUGUUUUUCUUUCACAAUGAAUUUCGCGUGUGCAAAAGGUGCCCAGACUGACAGCUCGGGAGAGCGGAGACCUCUGCACAUCCACUAACCAGCUGAGGCUACCAGCAAGAAGAGCCAUGCAGACAGAAGUAGAGACAGACACCCCAACCCCAGUCUCAAACAUCCCUGCACGUGGAAGAUAUUUGGAUAUAGCUGCUGGGCUUCUGGGCUUCAAAAGAGCUCAACUACAACCUCAUAUCCAGGCUGCUCAGAAAUAUCCAAUCCCAUGUUGAAUCUUGUUAAGCUCUUGGCCUCAACGACCUCCCAUGGCAAUGAGUUCCAUGAUUUAAUAAUGACUAUUUAAAGUUAGGCUGGCAGCAAAGCAAUAUGUGUGGAACAGAUCUUCUGAUGGGAAUUGGAAGCAAAC